Molecule: long non-coding RNA, 1093 nt
Filed under: Panax ginseng (ginseng)
Lineage: Eukaryota; Viridiplantae; Streptophyta; Magnoliopsida; Apiales; Araliaceae
Description: long non-coding RNA (PGIN_LNC010319)
Source: RNAcentral
GAUAAUCUGAACAAGGAACAUCAGAAAGCCCUGCAUAAUGCAGAGAUUGACCAUCCAGGACAGGGUGAGCAAUAUAUGCAUGAGCAUAGCCCUUGGUGGUGAGCAUAGCCCCUGGUGGUGCGCACAACCCAUAUGAGUGCAGAUGUGUGACCAGUGGAGAGUUGAGAGCUGGGUCAAGAGACGCAAGACUGCCGCUUCGAACAGAUCCUCAGGUGUAUCUGAAGGCAAAAAGGCAAAAGGCACGUAUCGGGGUGGCAGUAUAUCACAGCUGCAACAUAUUGCUGCCAGGGUACGUAUGUAUAACAAGCUUAUUUUCUUAGUUAUUUGUUUUUAUGUUUACAGUCAUGUUUUGUAGCAAAAUAUCAUAUGUUUAUAUAUUAAUAUGAGAACAUGAACUGUAGGAGUCUCAGUCUCAAGGUCAACCUAUCAAUUGGUUGGAUGUGUAUGUGGCCACCCGCGAUGGUCUGCCUGAGACUGGUCAGAUAGCAGUAAUAAGUUAACUUUAUACUAAUAUGUUGUUUAUAAACUGUGAUGACCUUUUUUAGCAUUUUUUUAUUUAUGUUUAACUAUUUAAUUGUUAACCUUUUGACAAGACACUUAUAAGAGCUUAAUGAACGAGCGUUAUCCUAAAGGCACCCCGCGUCCGUCGAUUGAUUAAGAAUUGUGGGAGAGGGCGUCAGUCGUGAAGAAAAACUACGUUAAAGGCCAAGGACAAAAAUGUCGCUCAACCAUCAGUGGCACAGGCAGCUCUGCUACCCAGUCUACACAGUCAUCAAGUCAUCCAGCCUAUCAUACUCCUGCUGACUAUGUGAGAGUGAUCUGUCGAGAUCGUGAUCUUCUUCGUAUACUGGGCGGGCAUCUACAGUCUCUGAGUCCUGAUGAGUUAGUGGAUGCAGUGGCGGCAGCAGCACGACAUCAGGAUGGCGAUGAGGUAUACAUAGAUAUUGUUACUAUCACUGUCUUACUUAUGUUUCACUACAUUGUCUAUUGUUUAGCUUUUUCUAAGUCAUAGCAGUAUCAACACAUGUAACAUGUUUUAUUCUUUUGUUAUAGGAUCCUACUAAUUUGGAUGAUGCAUGAAGAGCUAGACUUG